RNAcentral lists this ribosomal RNA (547 nucleotides) under Yamadazyma mexicana. RNAcentral describes it as "eukaryotic LSU rRNA". It matches the Rfam family "Eukaryotic large subunit ribosomal RNA", at positions 65 to 667 of the family's 3401-position model. The record is from RNAcentral. Lineage: Eukaryota; Fungi; Ascomycota; Pichiomycetes; Serinales; Debaryomycetaceae.
ACAACAGGCAUUGCCUUAGUAGCGGCGAGUGAAGCGGCAAUAGCUCAAAUUUGAAAUCUGGCGCCUUCGGUGUCCGAGUUGUAAUUUGAAGAAGGUAUCUUUGGUUUUGGCUCUUGUCUAUGUUUCUUGGAACAGGACGUCAUAGAGGGUGAGAAUCCCGUCUGAUGAGAUGCCCAAUUCCAUGUAAAGUUCCUUCGACGAGUCGAGUUGUUUGGGAAUGCAGCUCUAAGUGGGUGGUAAAUUCCAUCUAAAGCUAAAUAUUGGCGAGAGACCGAUAGCGAACAAGUACUGUGAAGGAAAGAUGAAAAGAACUUUGAAAAGAGAGUGAAAAAGUACGUGAAAUUGUUGAAAGGGAAGGGUUUAAGGUCAGACUUGGUUUACCAGGCCAGCAUCGGUUUAGAUGGCAGGAUAAUGGCGUAGGAAUGUGGCUUUGCUUCGGUAAAGUGUUAUAGCCUGCGUUGAUACUGCCUAUUUAGACCGAGGACUGCGUCUUUGACAAGGAUGCUGGCAUAAUGGCCUUAAGCCACCCGUCUGAAAACACCGGACC